UCCGCAGAAUAGAUAGACUCUCAGACUAUCAUCCCAUGCUGAGCAAUAAUAAUCAGCCUCGUCCUCAGCCUGGAGCCCAGUGAUGGUCAGGGUGCCUGUGCUGCCAGACUUGGAGCCAGAGAAUCGUUCAGGGACCCCCGAGGGUCUGCUAU
Molecule: long non-coding RNA, 152 nt
Organism: Prionailurus viverrinus (fishing cat)
Lineage: Eukaryota; Metazoa; Chordata; Mammalia; Carnivora; Felidae
Exons: 3
Source: RefSeq, a predicted model, not a curated record